Molecule: long non-coding RNA, 681 nt
Organism: Athene cunicularia (burrowing owl)
Lineage: Eukaryota; Metazoa; Chordata; Aves; Strigiformes; Strigidae
Exons: 2
Source: RefSeq, a predicted model, not a curated record
AGCAGCCAGAAGGUGCACCUGGGAUUCUAUGCACAUCUCCUUCUGACCAUGGGGAUCUUCAAGAACUCCAGUCUUCUCAGCCUCUAAGACAGGCACCAGUGUCCCCUCAUCAGUCCUUCUUCCCUACGGCUCCUCUGCGAACCUUCCCCACUCCCUGAAGGUGGCUGUCCCAUGCUCUCCCUACCUCCUGCUGCGGCUCUGUCCAUAUGGGGGGAGUGCAGAAACAAAGGCACACAGAGAUGGAGCUACCCACUGCCUCAGGAGCCGCCGCACAUUUCUCAGAGCUGCCAGGCACACCAAGGAUGCCACAAUGAAAAACCCUGCUGAGGCACACAGUCAAAUGCAAAAGCCGAGCAACACUGCAAGCUCUACCUAUCACCCUUAAAAAGCCUACUGGAAGAUACAGCAGCUGAAGAUGCUGACUAACACUGCCAUCCAACUGAUCUGUAAUUUUCAGAGUAUUUAGAGCAUAUCUAACAGCUUUAAGUUGCAGAACAAAUGCAUCCUGGCAGUCAGAAAUUAUGAAAAAUUUGGUCAUUUUCCCAAGCAAAAAUGUUUAGAAACAACGUAGGAGGAUAGCGAUCUUUCUGGCAACUGACACUGUUAAAGUAAACAAUGAUUCAAUCUUUUAAUUUGUCAUCUCCAAUCUAAUAAUUUAAAUAAAUUAAGUAACUUUUUCAA